This 2930-nucleotide ribosomal RNA is filed under the name Staphylococcus aureus. RNAcentral describes it as "23S ribosomal RNA". It matches the Rfam family "Bacterial large subunit ribosomal RNA". Lineage: Bacteria; Bacillati; Bacillota; Bacilli; Caryophanales; Staphylococcaceae. The record is from RNAcentral.
UUAAGUUAUUAAGGGCGCACGGUGGAUGCCUUGGCACUAGAAGCCGAUGAAGGACGUUACUAACGACGAUAUGCUUUGGGGAGCUGUAAGUAAGCUUUGAUCCAGAGAUUUCCGAAUGGGGAAACCCAGCAUGAGUUAUGUCAUGUUAUCGAUAUGUGAAUACAUAGCAUAUCAGAAGGCACACCCGGAGAACUGAAACAUCUUAGUANNNNNNNNNNCCGGAGGAAGAGAAAGAAAAUUCGAUUCCCUUAGUAGCGGCGAGCGAAACGGGAAGAGCCCAAACCAACAAGCUUGCUUGUUGGGGUUGUAGGACACUCUAUACGGAGUUACAAAGGACGACAUUAGACGAAUCAUCUGGAAAGAUGAAUCAAAGAAGGUAAUAAUCCUGUAGUCGAAAAUGUUGUCUCUCUUGAGUGGAUCCUGAGUACGACGGAGCACGUGAAAUUCCGUCGGAAUCUGGGAGGACCAUCUCCUAAGGCUAAAUACUCUCUAGUGACCGAUAGUGAACCAGUACCGUGAGGGAAAGGUGAAAAGCACCCCGGAAGGGGAGUGAAAUAGAACCUGAAACCGUGUGCUUACAAGUAGUCAGAGCCCGUUAAUGGGUGAUGGCGUGCCUUUUGUAGAAUGAACCGGCGAGUUACGAUUUGAUGCAAGGUUAAGCAGUAAAUGUGGAGCCGUAGCGAAAGCGAGUCUGAAUAGGGCGUUUAGUAUUUGGUCGUAGACCCGAAACCAGGUGAUCUACCCUUGGUCAGGUUGAAGUUCAGGUAACACUGAAUGGAGGACCGAACCGACUUACGUUGAAAAGUGAGCGGAUGAACUGAGGGUAGCGGAGAAAUUCCAAUCGAACCUGGAGAUAGCUGGUUCUCUCCGAAAUAGCUUUAGGGCUAGCCUCAAGUGAUGAUUAUUGGAGGUAGAGCACUGUUUGGACGAGGGGCCCCUCUCGGGUUACCGAAUUCAGACAAACUCCGAAUGCCAAUUAAUUUAACUUGGGAGUCAGAACAUGGGUGAUAAGGUCCGUGUUCGAAAGGGAAACAGCCCAGACCACCAGCUAAGGUCCCAAAAUAUAUGUUAAGUGGAAAAGGAUGUGGCGUUGCCCAGACAACUAGGAUGUUGGCUUAGAAGCAGCCAUCAUUUAAAGAGUGCGUAAUAGCUCACUAGUCGAGUGACACUGCGCCGAAAAUGUACCGGGGCUAAACAUAUUACCGAAGCUGUGGAUUGUCCUUUGGACAAUGGUAGGAGAGCGUUCUAAGGGCGUUGAAGCAUGAUCGUAAGGACAUGUGGAGCGCUUAGAAGUGAGAAUGCCGGUGUGAGUAGCGAAAGACGGGUGAGAAUCCCGUCCACCGAUUGACUAAGGUUUCCAGAGGAAGGCUCGUCCGCUCUGGGUUAGUCGGGUCCUAAGCUGAGGCCGACAGGCGUAGGCGAUGGAUAACAGGUUGAUAUUCCUGUACCACCUAUAAUCGUUUUAAUCGAUGGGGGGACGCAGUAGGAUAGGCGAAGCGUGCGAUUGGAUUGCACGUCUAAGCAGUAAGGCUGAGUAUUAGGCAAAUCCGGUACUCGUUAAGGCUGAGCUGUGAUGGGGAGAAGACAUUGUGUCUUCGAGUCGUUGAUUUCACACUGCCGAGAAAAGCCUCUAGAUAGAAAAUAGGUGCCCGUACCGCAAACCGACACAGGUAGUCAAGAUGAGAAUUCUAAGGUGAGCGAGCGAACUCUCGUUAAGGAACUCGGCAAAAUGACCCCGUAACUUCGGGAGAAGGGGUGCUCUUUAGGGUUAACGCCCAGAAGAGCCGCAGUGAAUAGGCCCAAGCGACUGUUUAUCAAAAACACAGGUCUCUGCUAAACCGUAAGGUGAUGUAUAGGGGCUGACGCCUGCCCGGUGCUGGAAGGUUAAGAGGAGUGGUUAGCUUCUGCGAAGCUACGAAUCGAAGCCCCAGUAAACGGCGGCCGUAACUAUAACGGUCCUAAGGUAGCGAAAUUCCUUGUCGGGUAAGUUCCGACCCGCACGAAAGGCGUAACGAUUUGGGCACUGUCUCAACGAGAGACUCGGUGAAAUCAUAGUACCUGUGAAGAUGCAGGUUACCCGCGACAGGACGGAAAGACCCCGUGGAGCUUUACUGUAGCCUGAUAUUGAAAUUCGGCACAGCUUGUACAGGAUAGGUAGGAGCCUUUGAAACGUGAGCGCUAGCUUACGUGGAGGCGCUGGUGGGAUACUACCCUAGCUGUGUUGGCUUUCUAACCCGCACCACUUAUCGUGGUGGGAGACAGUGUCAGGCGGGCAGUUUGACUGGGGCGGUCGCCUCCUAAAAGGUAACGGAGGCGCUCAAAGGUUCCCUCAGAAUGGUUGGAAAUCAUUCAUAGAGUGUAAAGGCAUAAGGGAGCUUGACUGCGAGACCUACAAGUCGAGCAGGGUCGAAAGACGGACUUAGUGAUCCGGUGGUUCCGCAUGGAAGGGCCAUCGCUCAACGGAUAAAAGCUACCCCGGGGAUAACAGGCUUAUCUCCCCCAAGAGUUCACAUCGACGGGGAGGUUUGGCACCUCGAUGUCGGCUCAUCGCAUCCUGGGGCUGUAGUCGGUCCCAAGGGUUGGGCUGUUCGCCCAUUAAAGCGGUACGCGAGCUGGGUUCAGAACGUCGUGAGACAGUUCGGUCCCUAUCCGUCGUGGGCGUAGGAAAUUUGAGAGGAGCUGUCCUUAGUACGAGAGGACCGGGAUGGACAUACCUCUGGUGUACCAGUUGUCGUGCCAACGGCAUAGCUGGGUAGCUAUGUGUGGACGGGAUAAGUGCUGAAAGCAUCUAAGCAUGAAGCCCCCCUCAAGAUGAGAUUUCCCAACUUCGGUUAUAAGAUCCCUCAAAGAUGAUGAGGUUAAUAGGUUCGAGGUGGAAGCAUGGUGACAUGUGGAGCUGACGAAUACUAAUCGAUCGAAGACUUAAUCAA